This 263-nucleotide ribosomal RNA is filed under the name Escherichia coli. RNAcentral's name for it is "partial 16S ribosomal RNA". It matches the Rfam family "Bacterial small subunit ribosomal RNA", at positions 1 to 260 of the family's 1533-position model. Lineage: Bacteria; Pseudomonadati; Pseudomonadota; Gammaproteobacteria; Enterobacterales; Enterobacteriaceae. The record is from RNAcentral.
AAAUUGAAGAGUUUGAUCAUGGCUCAGAUUGAACGCUGGCGGCAGGCCUAACACAUGCAAGUCGAACGGUAACAGGAAGCAGCUUGCUGCUUUGCUGACGAGUGGCGGACGGGUGAGUAAUGUCUGGGAAACUGCCCGAUGGAGGGGGAUAACUACUGGAAACGGUAGCUAAUACCGCAUAACGUCGCAAGACCAAAGAGGGGGACCUUAGGGCCUCUUGCCAUCGGAUGUGCCCAGAUGGGAUUAGCUAGUAGGCGGGGUAA